RNAcentral lists this unclassified non-coding RNA (396 nucleotides) under soil metagenome. RNAcentral's name for it is "partial contains 5.8S ribosomal RNA, internal transcribed spacer 2, and large subunit ribosomal RNA". The stretch from base 1 to 122 matches the Rfam family "5.8S ribosomal RNA", at positions 35 to 154 of the family's 154-position model. The record is from RNAcentral.
GAUGAAGAACGCAGCGAAAUGCGAUACUUGGUGUGAAUUGCAGAAUCCCGUGAACCAUCGAGUCUUUGAACGCAAGUUGCGCCCGAAGCCAUCAGGUUGAGGGCACGUCUGCCUGGGCGUCACAUAUCGUUGCCCAAUGCCUAUUGCAGUGCAAUAGGAAUUUCUAGGGCGAAUGAUGGCUUCCCGUGAGCGUUGUUGCCUCGCGGUUGGUUGAAAAUUGAGUCCUUGGUAGGGUGUGCCAUGAUAGAUGGUGGUCGAGUUUGCACGAGACCGAUCAUGUGUGCGCUCCCCAAAAUAUGGACUCUUUGACCCCACACGCGUCUUUUGACGCUCAUGACGAGACCUCAGGUCAGGCGGGGCUACCCGCUGAGUUUAAGCAUAUCAAUAAGCGGAGGA